RNAcentral lists this ribosomal RNA (406 nucleotides) under uncultured bacterium. Its description in RNAcentral is "partial 16S ribosomal RNA". It matches the Rfam family "Bacterial small subunit ribosomal RNA", at positions 28 to 526 of the family's 1533-position model. The record is from RNAcentral.
GAUGAACGCUAGCUACAGGCUUAACACAUGCAAGUCGAGGGACCGGCGCACGGGUGAGUAACACGUAUCCCACCUGCCCUUUACUCGGGGAUAGCCUUUCGCAAGAACGAUUAAUACCCGAUAUAAAGGAUGGGGAUGCGUUCCAUUAGGUUGUUGGUUAGGGAACGGCUCACCAAGCCUUCGCUGGCUAGGGGUUAUGAGUGGAAGCUCCCCCACAUUGGAACUGAGACACGGUCCAAACUGCGACGCGAGGCAGGAGUGAGGAACAUGAGGCAAUGGGCGCUAGCCUGAACCAGCCAAGUAGCGGGAAGGGUGAAGGCGUAUGAGACGAAAACUUCUUUGAUAGAAGAAUAUGUAUUAUAUGAAGAAGGAUCGGCUAACUCCGUGCCAGCAGCCGCGGUAAUUC